GCUGGGCCUGGUGGCGCCCGCCCAUAGUCCCAGCUACUUGGCGGGAGGGUCGCUUGAGCCCAAGAGUGCUGGGCUGUAGUGUGCUCUGCCAAUCGGGUGUCUACAUAAAGUUCGACAUCAGUACACAUAUAGUGACCUCCUGGGAGCGGGGGACCAGCAGGUUGGCAAAGGAGAGGUCAGUCGGCCCAGGUCAGAAAUGGAGCAGGUCAGAACUCCUGGGUUGAUCAGUGGUGUGACUGUGCCUGUAAACAGUCACUGUACUCCAGCCUGGACAAUAGAGCGAGAACUUU
RNAcentral lists this signal recognition particle RNA (290 nucleotides) under Carlito syrichta (Philippine tarsier). Its description in RNAcentral is "Metazoan signal recognition particle RNA (ENSTSYG00000028854.1)". It matches the Rfam family "Metazoan signal recognition particle RNA". From Rfam's summary of the family: The signal recognition particle (SRP) is a universally conserved ribonucleoprotein. It is involved in the co-translational targeting of proteins to membranes. The record is from RNAcentral. Lineage: Eukaryota; Metazoa; Chordata; Mammalia; Primates; Tarsiidae.